GUGAGCGGAUGAACUGAGGGUAGCGGAGAAAUUCCAAUCGAACCUGGAGAUAGCUGGUUCUCUCCGAAAUAGCUUUAGGGCUAGCCUCAAGUGAUGAUUAUUGGAGGUAGAGCACUGUUUGGACGAGGGGCCCCUCUCGGGUUACCGAAUUCAGACAAACUCCGAAUGCCAAUUAAUUUAACUUGGGAGUCAGAACAUGGGUGAUAAGGUCCGUGUUCGAAAGGGAAACAGCCCAGACCACCAGCUAAGGUCCCAAAAUAUAUGUUAAGUGGAAAAGGAUGUGGCGUUGCCCAGACAACUAGGAUGUUGGCUUAGAAGCAGCCAUCAUUUAAAGAGUGCGUAAUAGCUCACUAGUCGAGUGACACUGCGCCGAAAAUGUACCGGGGCUAAACAUAUUACCGAAGCUGUGGAUUGUCCUUUGGACAAUGGUAGGAGAGCGUUCUAAGGGCGUUGAAGCAUGAUCGUAAGGACAUGUGGAGCGCUUAGAAGUGAGAAUGCCGGUGUGAGUAGCGAAAGACGGGUGAGAAUCCCGUCCACCGAUUGACUAAGGUUUCCAGAGGAAGGCUCGUCCGCUCUGGGUUAGUCGGGUCCUAAGCUGAGGCCGACAGGCGUAGGCGAUGGAUAACAGGUUGAUAUUCCUGUACCACCUAUA
This 652-nucleotide ribosomal RNA is filed under the name Staphylococcus aureus. RNAcentral describes it as "partial 23S ribosomal RNA". It matches the Rfam family "Bacterial large subunit ribosomal RNA", at positions 796 to 1452 of the family's 2925-position model. The record is from RNAcentral. Lineage: Bacteria; Bacillati; Bacillota; Bacilli; Caryophanales; Staphylococcaceae.